This 1387-nucleotide long non-coding RNA is filed under the name Pan troglodytes (chimpanzee). RNAcentral describes it as "long non-coding RNA NONPTRT012353". Lineage: Eukaryota; Metazoa; Chordata; Mammalia; Primates; Hominidae. The record is from RNAcentral.
UUUACUCAUUGUCUUUCACAAUUGAAUGACCUCACAGUGACCAUCUCUGCUUGUGUCAGUUGUAGUGAUGAUGAAGAUGUUGCACCAUUGUCAGCCAAAUUUGCUGAUAUUUAUCCAUUGAGUAAUUAUGAUGAUACCGAGGUGGUGGCCAACAUGAAUGGAAUCCACAGCGAAUUGAAUGGUGGCGGGGAAAACAUGGCCCUGAAGGAUGAGUCUCCUCAGAUAAGCAGUACCAGCAGUAGUUCCUCAGAAGCUGAUGAUGAAGAAGCGGACGGCGAGAGUAGUGGGGAGCCCCCAGGGGCCCCGAAGGAAGAUGGAGUGCUGGGAAGCAGGAGCCCCAGGACAGAGGAGAGCAAAGCAGACAGUCCACCCCCAUCCUACCCAACACAGCAGGCUGAACAAGCUCCAAACACUUGUGAAUGUCAUGUUUGUAAGCAAGAAGCUUCUGGACUGACACCAUCUGCAAUGACAGCCGGAGCCCUUCCUCCUGGCCAUCAGUUCUUGAGCCCAGAGAAGCCCACACACCCUGCACUGCACCUUUACCCUCACAUCCAUGGACAUGUGCCUUUGCACACUGUUCCACACCUGCCACGCCCUCUCAUCCACCCCACCUUGUAUGCAACGCCCCCCUUCACACACAGUAAGGGAGUGAAAUAUUAGGGCCAACACUCUCAGAAACAAGACCGGAAGCCCUUCCACCUCCAGCUAGCAAUGAAACACCUGCAGUCUCGGAUAGUAAAGAGAAAAAGAAUGCUGCAAAAAAGAAAUGUUUAUACAAUUUCCAAGAUGCUUUCAUGGAAGCAAAUAAAGUUGUCAUGGCCACAUCAUCAGCCACGUCCUCUGUGUCCUGCACAGCUACCACAGUGCAGUCCAGCAACAGCCAGUUCAGAGUGUCAUCCAAGAGACCUCCUUCAGUAGGUGACGUGUUUCAUGGCAUCAGCAAGGAGGACCACAGACACUCGGCCCCAGCCGCCCCGAGGAACAGCCCCACGGGCUUGGCCCCACUCCCAGCGCUCUCGCCUGCUGCGCUGUCACCUGCUGCGCUCUCACCUGCCUCCACACCUCACCUUGCAAAUCUUGCAGCCCCAUCAUUCCCCAAAACAGCAACCACAACUCCUGGGUUUGUGGACACACGCAAGAGUUUCUGUCCUGCACCCCUGCCCCCGGCCACAGAUGGCUCCAUUAGCGCCCCUCCAAGUGUCUGCAGUGACCCUGACUGCGAAGGGCACCGCUGCGAGAAUGGUGUCUACGACCCACAGCAGGAUGAUGGGGACGAGAGUGCAGAUGAGGACAGCUGCUCUGAGCACAGCUCCAGCACCUCGACCUCCACCAACCAGAAGGAGGGCAAGUACUGCGACUGCUGCUACUGCGAAUUCUUUGGGCACGG